This 353-nucleotide long non-coding RNA is filed under the name Theropithecus gelada (gelada). RNAcentral describes it as "lncRNA (ENSTGEG00000002306.1)". The record is from RNAcentral. Lineage: Eukaryota; Metazoa; Chordata; Mammalia; Primates; Cercopithecidae.
AAAAUUUCCCACCGCAAAGCAGGGAGUGAUGCUGUGGCGGCUUCGCAUUAUGGUUCCUGCCGACCGCCAGGCGCUGCUACAGUGGAUGCGAACUACCUGUAAGUGUGCAGCAGCAGCCGGAACCCACAGUUCACCUUGGUGCAUUCCUUUAUGAUGAAGACUUAUUGAUUCAUUAUAUGAGAAAGGAAAAAUGAGCAGAAACUACUGUAUGAUGUGCAGCUCACACCAGACAGCACCUUUAGGAUUAUCUUUCCAGUUCAGCAGUGCAACUCUAUGGAGUAGAAUUGAAAGGAGACUUUCCCCAAUUGCAGAAAAUGGUCAUAAAAAAAUACCUGUUCACUGACAGAAUAAAG